Long non-coding RNA from Bufo bufo (common toad), 214 nucleotides. RefSeq lists it as uncharacterized. The transcript has 4 exons. Lineage: Eukaryota; Metazoa; Chordata; Amphibia; Anura; Bufonidae. The record is from RefSeq and is a predicted model, not a curated record.
AUUAGAUUUAAAUACACUGGGUGUCCCCAAGCACUGACUCCAUAUAUGGAAAUAGCUAUAUAUGGAGUCAGAGCAGGGACUCCUAAGCCGAACUAGAGUCCCGACACCCUCCCCUCUUCAUAACAUGGGGUGCCUGUUUUAAUGCUCGGUUCUCCCAUUGACUUUUAUUGUGCUCGGGUGCUCUGUAGAGGAAAAUCUAAUAAUAAGACAAUAG